RNAcentral lists this ribosomal RNA (478 nucleotides) under uncultured bacterium. RNAcentral describes it as "partial 16S ribosomal RNA". It matches the Rfam family "Bacterial small subunit ribosomal RNA", at positions 28 to 523 of the family's 1533-position model. The record is from RNAcentral.
GAUGAACGCUGGCGGUGUGCUUAACACAUGCAAGUCGAACGGUAAGGCCCUUCGGGGUACACGAGUGGCGAACGGGUGAGUAACACGUGGGUGAUCUGCCCUGCACUUCGGGAUAAGCCUGGGAAACUGGGUCUAAUACCGGAUAGGACCACUGCCUGCAUGGGUGGUGGUGGAAAGCUUUUGCGGUGUGGGAUGGGCCCGCGGCCUAUCAGCUUGUUGGUGGGGUGAUGGCCUACCAAGGCGACGACGGGUAGCCGGCCUGAGAGGGUGACCGGCCACACUGGGACUGAGAUACGGCCCAGACUCCUACGGGGGGCAGCAGUGGGGAAUAUUGCACAAUGGGCGCAGGCCUGAUGCAGCGACGCCGCGUGAGGGAUGACGGCCUUCGGGUUGUAAACCUCUUUCAGCACCGACGAAGCGCAAGUGACGGUAGGUGCAGAAGAAGGACCGGCCAACUACGUGCCAGCAGCCGCCGUAA